GAGGAGUGAGCCUAGGCUACCUCACAAAGGCCCAUCUGGAUCUCUGAGAAUCUCACUGGCAUUUGGAUCAGGUCCACUACAGAGCAACUGCUGAGGUCGGGAGUGGAAGCCAUUGCUACAGCAGCAGGAGGUUGAAUGCAAGAAGUUCUUUCACCCUUUGGAAAGAAAAACACAGCACCGAGAGAGGCGAAUCAGACUCAUCGGCUUAUCGUGCCGGCUUCCCAGCAUUCACCAACCAGCCUUUGGACAUUGCUUCCAUUCCCGCCUUUACAUUCCUGCUCUGCCUCUCUGAACCUUUUACUUUUGGAGACUCUUUUAUGGCACAGACGUGUUUUCUGUUUCUGCUUCCGCCUGUAAACCACAGAUCCCACACGCCAUCUUCCCCGAGCAUUGACUAAGGACUCACACCAGCAACUCUCUGGAGAUCCAGGCCUUCAACCUCAGAUGGGUUUGCAUCAUUUGGUCCCUUUGUUCUGAGGCUCCCACUUUCCUGGGCUGAACAGCUACUGGUUCAUCUAGCUUCCUGGAGAUGUCCACUGGAGUAUGCAUGGUUCUCUAGAGCCUAGCUUCUUAAACUGUGGGUUGGCAUUCCAUAUGGGCUCGUGUGACUCUGAGUGUUCCAGGAAGGGGGGAGGUCAUAAAAAAUGGCAAUGAUAAAAGUUCUCUGAAUAUACAGCAGCCAAAAAUUCAUUCAAAAUCAGUUAAUGAGUUUUUAGUGCUUGCCUGUGUUACCUGGCUUAUUGUAGUCUUAGUUCAGAAUGAACAUUGUGUGUACUUUACGUUACACACAUAUGUCAUUAUGCUGUACAGUACAAUAAAUGCUGCCUGAGAUACAA
Molecule: long non-coding RNA, 836 nt
Organism: Mastomys coucha (southern multimammate mouse)
Lineage: Eukaryota; Metazoa; Chordata; Mammalia; Rodentia; Muridae
Exons: 3
Source: RefSeq, a predicted model, not a curated record